Arabidopsis thaliana (thale cress) is the source of this 599-nucleotide long non-coding RNA. RefSeq annotates it as other RNA. The transcript has a single exon. NCBI's taxonomy places the organism in Eukaryota, Viridiplantae, Streptophyta, Magnoliopsida, Brassicales, Brassicaceae. The record is from RefSeq.
AUAGAUGAGCCUUGUGAACCAGAGACAAGCAUAGAACCCUAUUGUUCCUGUGAGCACAAAAAAUGCGUAGGAGGCGAUGAGCAUGUACCCAAAGUAAAGCAUCGCAGAGACCAGUUUGGUGAUCUGAAGCUUUGUGAAGAAGUAGAACGUGGCAUAGAGGAAGAGGUAGAGAGCUGAUGAGCCUGAUGUGAGGUAUGAUCUCCACCACCAAAGGUAGUCCUCACUGCAAAGCUGGAAGUAGCAGAGUACUACGGUUAUCUCGGCGCAAGUCACAAUGAGGAUUACAAAGACGAGGAAGAGGAACCCAAAGAUGUAGUAGAACUGGUUGAGCCAGAUGGAUGUGAGGAUGAAGAAGAGCUCGAUGAAGACUGCACCAAACGGUAAGAUUCCUCCAAUGAGGAUUGAGAAAACCGGGUUCAUGUACCAAGCUUGCUCUGGGAUUUGCCUCGGGAUUUUGUUGGUUUUCACUGGGUCAUCAGCCGCUGGCUUCUUGAACCCAAUGUAACCCCCAACAAAGACGAGAGGAACUGAGAUGCCAAACCAGAGGAAGAUCAAGGCGAACAUUGUUCCAAAGGGGACAGCCCCAGAUGACUUCUGUC